RNAcentral lists this ribosomal RNA (301 nucleotides) under uncultured bacterium. Its description in RNAcentral is "partial 16S ribosomal RNA". It matches the Rfam family "Bacterial small subunit ribosomal RNA", at positions 509 to 807 of the family's 1533-position model. The record is from RNAcentral.
CAGCCGCCGCGGUAAUACAGAGGAUGCAAGCGUUAUCCGGAAUGAUUGGGCGUAAAGCGUCUGUAGGUGGCUUUUCAAGUCCGCCGUCAAAUCCCAGGGCUCAACCCUGGACAGGCGGUGGAAACUACCAAGCUGGAGUACGGUAGGGGCAGAGGGAAUUUCCAGUGGAGCGGUGAAAUGCGUUGAGAUCGAAAAGAACACCAACGGCGAAAGCACUCUGCUGGGCCGACACUGACACUGAGAGACGAAAGCUAGGGGAGCAAAUGGGAUUAGAUACCCCGGUAGUCCCUGUCUCUUAUAC